AGGCUGGCAGUUUCUGAGCAGAGCAGGCUCUCAAAUCCACCUCAUGGGCAGCUGCCAGCUCUGGACUUCAGGGUGUCCUGCCGCCCAAGGGCACAGCGAGAGUCAGCAAGCAUCGCUGCCUUACUGACUGUCAUGGUCUCUACCGGCCUAUCCCUCUGUCGGUCUGUGGUGCCCAUACCUCCUAUCAGUGCAUGGCCCUGACGCUAAGAUUGGGAAGGCAGAGACAAGUGGGGAAGGUUCAGAGAAAAGCAACAAAAAUGAUUCAGGAAAGAAAGGAAUUGAUAUGUGAAGACAAAAGCUCCAAGCAGUUAACUCAUCUGCCCGAAGUUGUAUGGUGAAGCUGGCGACCGGGGAGGCCAGGAGGCAUCCUGGUUAGAAAAGCAGCUUGAACGGAACCAUGAAAGACAGCCAGGCCACCCACAGAACUACAAGGGCUGGCAAAAUCCAUGCUAAACUCGGCUGUCCUCCCUCCUGGAUCUGUGCCCACGCAGCCAAGAUUCAAUGGACGAAAACAUACACCUCUGCUUACUGACCUCUCCUUGGUUCAUGACAACCUAUCUCAAAUGAGCACUCCACGCGACCCUGCAAUUUGAUUCUCUUUGUUUUUGUUUUGUUUUUUUUUGCUUUUUCUCCCAAAAAUCCCCCCAGCACAUACUUGUAUAUUUUAGUUGUGGGUCCUUCUAGUUGUAGCAUGUGGGAUGCCACC
RNAcentral lists this long non-coding RNA (706 nucleotides) under Equus caballus (horse). RNAcentral's name for it is "lncRNA (ENSECAG00000059674.1)". The record is from RNAcentral. Lineage: Eukaryota; Metazoa; Chordata; Mammalia; Perissodactyla; Equidae.